RNAcentral lists this ribosomal RNA (429 nucleotides) under Bacteroidota bacterium. RNAcentral describes it as "Bacteroidetes bacterium partial 16S ribosomal RNA". It matches the Rfam family "Bacterial small subunit ribosomal RNA", at positions 355 to 776 of the family's 1533-position model. Lineage: Bacteria; Pseudomonadati; Bacteroidota. The record is from RNAcentral.
UAGGGAAUCUUCGGCAAUGGGGGGAACCCUGACCGAGCAACGCCGCGUGAGUGAAGAAGGUUUUCGGAUCGUAAAGCUCUGUUGUUAAGGAAGAACGAGUGUGAGAAUGGAAAGUUCAUGCUGUGACGGUACUUAACCAGAAAGGGACGGCUAACUACGUGCCAGCAGCCGCGGUAAUACGUAGGUCCCGAGCGUUGUCCGGAUUUAUUGGGCGUAAAGCGAGCGCAGGCGGUUAGAAAAGUCUGAAGUGAAAGGCAGUGGCUCAACCAUUGUAGGCUUUGGAAACUGUUUAACUUGAGUGCAGAAGGGGGGAGUGGAAUUCCAUGUGUAGCGGUGAAAUGCGUGGAUAUAUGGAGGAACACCGGUGGCGAAAGCGGCUCUCUGGUCUGUAACUGACGCUGAGGCUCGAAAGCGUGGGGAGCGAACAGG